Molecule: ribosomal RNA, 792 nt
Filed under: uncultured bacterium
Lineage: Bacteria
Description: bacterial SSU rRNA
Rfam family: Bacterial small subunit ribosomal RNA
Source: RNAcentral
UUAACCCAUAGAACUGCAUUGGAAACUGGUAACCUAGAGUAUGGGAGGGGGGAGAUGGAAUUAGUGGUGUAGGGGUAAAAUCCGUAGAUAUCACUAGGAAUACCGAAAGCGAAGGCGAUCUCCUGGAACAAUACUGACGCUAAGGCGUGAAAGCGUGGGGAGCAAACGGGAUUAGAUACCCCGGUAGUCCACGCCCUAAACGAUGUUCACUAGUCGUCGGAAUGCUAGUCAUUUCGGUGAUGCACUUAACAGAUUAAGUGAACCGCCUGGGGAGUACGGUCGCAAGAUUAAAACUCAAAGGAAUAGACGGGGACCCGCACAAGUGGUGGAGCAUGUGGUUUAAUUCGAAGAUACGCGAAGAACCUUACCUAGCCUUGACAUUGAUUGAACACUUUAGAGAUAGAGUGGUGCCCUUCGGGGAACAUGAAAACAGGUGCUGCACGGCUGUCGUCAGCUCGUGUCGUGAGAUGUUGGGUUGGUCCCGCAACGAGCGCAACCCUCGUCCUUAGUUGCCAGCAGGUUAUGCUGGGCACUCUAAGGAGACUGCCUUCGCAAGGAGGAGGAAGGUGAGGACGACGUCAAGUCAUCAUGGCCCUUAUGGCUAGGGCUACACACGUGCUACAAUGGGGCGUACAGAGAGUUGCGAUACCGCGAGGUGGAGCCAAUCUCAUAAAGCGUCUCUCAGUUCGGAUUGAAGUCUGCAACUCGACUUCAUGAAGCUGGAAUCACUAGUAAUCGUAGAUCAGCAAUGCUACGGUGAAUACGUUCCCGGGUCUUGUACUCACCGCCCGU